CCGGAUGACUGGUCGACACAAGUGGAUCGGCAGGAGUGGAGGACCCGAGCACAUCGGGCCGACCGGACUUCCGGUCAGCCCUUGGGGUGAAGCCGCCGUGUGCGGCCGGGCAACUUCGCCAGCCCGAACCCGACAGGUCAUCCUUCACAGGCGGCUGACGAAGGGUUGC
This 169-nucleotide small RNA is filed under the name Streptomyces sp. Its description in RNAcentral is "c-di-AMP sequence". It matches the Rfam family "c-di-AMP riboswitch aptamer (ydaO/yuaA leader)". From Rfam's summary of the family: This family represents a conserved RNA structure found upstream of the ydaO and yuaA genes in Bacillus subtilis and related genes in other bacteria. The ydaO/yuaA element is thought to act as a genetic "off" switch for the ydaO and yuaA genes in its native state. The record is from RNAcentral. Lineage: Bacteria; Bacillati; Actinomycetota; Actinomycetes; Kitasatosporales; Streptomycetaceae.